GCAAUGCCUUCACCCAAGUCUGUUUCAGUUAGUUCAAUGGACACGGCAACACUGACUCCUUUGAGUCUUGGUUCACCAUCAUUGACAUUGCCUACUGUCUCAACACCACCCAUGUCUCCCUUGACAGUAGCCUCUUCAUCCCCCAAGAGUGGAGGGUUAUGGCAGAAUAAAGUUAACCUCAACCCACCCGCUUUGCAGCUCCCAGGAAGUAGGCUAAA
Molecule: unclassified non-coding RNA, 218 nt
Filed under: Hevea brasiliensis (rubber tree)
Lineage: Eukaryota; Viridiplantae; Streptophyta; Magnoliopsida; Malpighiales; Euphorbiaceae
Source: RNAcentral